Molecule: ribosomal RNA, 271 nt
Filed under: uncultured bacterium
Lineage: Bacteria
Description: partial 16S ribosomal RNA
Rfam family: Bacterial small subunit ribosomal RNA
Source: RNAcentral
UACGUAGGGGGCAAGCGUUGUCCGGAUUUAUUGGGCGUAAAGCGCGUGUAGGCGGCCAGGUAGGUCAGCUGUGAAAACUCGAGGCUCAACCUCGAGAUGUCGGCUGAAACCAUCUGGCUAGAGUCCGGAAGAGGAGAAUGGAAUUCCCGGUGUAGCGGUGAAAUGCGCAGAUAUCGGGAAGAACACCCGUGGCGAAGGCGGUUCUCUGGGACGGUACUGACGCUGAGACGCGAAAGCGUGGGGAGCGAACAGGAUUAGAAACCCCGGUAGU